Molecule: ribosomal RNA, 121 nt
Filed under: Pteropus vampyrus (large flying fox)
Lineage: Eukaryota; Metazoa; Chordata; Mammalia; Chiroptera; Pteropodidae
Source: RNAcentral
GUCUAUGACCAUGCUAUCCUGAAUAAGCCCGAUUCCCGUCUGAUCAUUGUAAGCUAACCAAGGGCGAGCCUCAUUAGUACUUGGAUGGGAGACCACCCUACAUGACCAGGUGCUGUAGGCA